Long non-coding RNA from Caretta caretta (loggerhead turtle), 470 nucleotides. RefSeq lists it as uncharacterized. The record is from RefSeq and is a predicted model, not a curated record. NCBI's taxonomy places the organism in Eukaryota, Metazoa, Chordata, Testudines, Cheloniidae.
UCGUGUACUUGGAACCAUGGAGGAGCCACACUUUCAGGUGGAGCUUCUCCAGUUGUGGAUGGAAGAGCUGACCAUUGUCCUGGGAUAGGAGGUCUGACCUCAUCAAGAGAGUUCGUGGAGGGCAGACUGACAUGCACAGCAGCUCCUGAAACUGUUUGAAAUCGUCACAUCAGAGUGAAUGGAGGUGGAAUGACGGCUUCAUUUGGAGACGAGGACAAGCUGUAUUCUGGGGACAGCAUCUCUGUAGGGGAAGAAGCUACAGCACUGCCCAUAGCUCCCUCUUCAGCCAAGGACGGUUGAGAAGAAACUGAGCGGGUUGGGCCAUGUGCGCUCUGCACAGACUCAAAUGAUGCCAUGAAACAACAGCUGCGCAUGCACGGCCCAACCAGGCACUGCUACUGAAGAGCUCCGAUCAACGGUGCCAGGACGCAUGGUCACCCGGAGUGGAGUACCCACAGGGACAGCACUCG